Molecule: long non-coding RNA, 4000 nt
Organism: Eriocheir sinensis (Chinese mitten crab)
Lineage: Eukaryota; Metazoa; Arthropoda; Malacostraca; Decapoda; Varunidae
Exons: 2
Source: RefSeq, a predicted model, not a curated record
ACUUAGGUUCAUUGUUUGUCUAUGUAUGUGCUUGGAAAUACGAACUACGGCAGCCUGGUUUGUUAAUUAGUGCUUCGUCUCGGCGGUUCGAAACACUUAAAUUGGAUGGCGAUUUACCGCAGUGGUCCCAGAAGUAUGUACGACAGUUAUUCCAAAGUACCACUCAAACACCAUACACACGCAAUUCACAUUUCUUAAAAAAAUAAGUCAAACGAGUUGAGUGGGGAAGCAUUUUUUUUUUUUUUUUUUUGGGGGGGGGCGGUAUUUCGUUGAUAGGGAGAAAGACGGCGGGUAGAGAGACAUGCCCAUUUUUUUCAAGUGGAGGAGGCCCAACAACGGGGCUGAGGGUGUCGGAAAGAGCACACGAGCAAGCCACGUGUUAUAUAGCUCAGUAUUGUCAGACGCUCCCUCCCACCCCUUACACCAGCCAUUUUCAGAGGCCAAAGAGAUCAUGCAGUCGGGUCCUCGUGAAUGUUUUAUUUUUCAGCUCAUGGUACAGGAGAAAGAUCAAACUACCACCGGGGCCAUAAAACUACCCCUGGAAAUGCCCAAAACUCCUACGAAAAGCCUUGUCAAAUAUGUGUUCUCGGGCGCGGAAAUGUUUAAAAACGUGAACCUUUGGCUGGUAUUAUAAGACACUCGCUUCUCAAAUCAGCUAUUUCUAAAGGUCAAAGAGGGGGUCAGUCGGGUUCUAAUGAGUGUUUCUUCAGGUUCAAGGUACAGAGGAAGGCUCAAACUACUACCAGGGUCAUAAAACUACCCCUGGAAAUGCCAACAACUCCUACGAAAGCCUUGUCAAUUAUGUGUUCUCGGAAAUGUUUAAAAAAUGUGAACCUUAGUGUUGAUGAUCGUUGAGUCGUUACUGGUCAUCCGCUAGUGUUUGCACGAGUCACCCCUCGAAACAGUUAACUUGUCUGGUGGUUAAAGCAAUCUGGUAUUUUCAACCACAAAUGGCUUGGUAAUGACUUUUGUGGUCUAACGUUAUGUGUUCCGAUGUGUUCUAUCUAUACUAAGGCCCUAUUUAUUUUGGACGAUAUUCAAUCUUGAGUUCAUUACGAUCGAGGUUGCCCGCUGUAGUGAUUCAAUAUGCCUCUAGAGAAGAUCAAAAGAGAGUUAAGGGUUGAAUGGCUUCCAGCGCGCCAUCCUGUAUACUCCUUGGAGGAAUAAUACGUAUUCUUCCUCCAAGGCAUACUCCGCGUCGAUUACUGCUACCGCCAUUUUUAAAGGUCAGCGGGUUUUUAAAAACUCUUCCGCCUUCAGCUGACGCGGUGUUGCCACAUGACGACUCGCUUGUAUCUGCUCCACUUUUAAUUGAUAUUUAUGCGAUUUUUUUAUUUUAUUUUUUAUUUUUUAUAAGGAGUUCGCGUCAGCAGAAUCGUACCUUGCUGCGCGUGGCCUCGGUGUUCAUUUCUGUCUCGCUGCUGCUUUUUUCUCGUUUUACAUGUCGUUUACUGUUUUUUUUUAAUGUUAGAGAAAAUACGAUCACUUGGUAAAUUAUCAAAGCCUAGGAUAUCACCCCACCCUACUCUCUCUCUCUCUCUCUCUCUCUCUCUCUCUCUACGUAUAGGUUCACCAUACGGGAUUCAUCAGGCACGCGAGUUCAGUUUUUCACUUUUAUUCACAUAGGUAGCCUUCAGUGUCCAAAUAUACAGCAACAGAUUAAUGUAAAAGAUAUAUGUCAAGUACUUUUACAAACCCAAACUUUUUUUAUUAAUUUCCUCUCUACUUACAUAUAGUCUGCUGGCCUGAUAUAUUAAAGUGUCUAACAGAGGAACGAUGAUUGAAGGAAUAGAUGAUAAAGGAAAUUAUAUAGAUAGGAAACAAUGAUAGAAAGAAUUGAUGACAAAGGAAAGGAUGGAGAGGAAACGAUGAUAUAAUUAAGUCCAAGUGGCUCUCAACCUUUUAUGCCCAUGCAGUGCUCCCUCUUCACCGUAUGUCAGAAUGUCUCCCCCAUUUCAAGAUCGCCUGACUCAAAACCACGUGUCUACCUCCCCUGUAGGCGGGGCUGCAGGGGCUACACAUCAUUGGAGGGGGGUGGAAGGGGGGGAUACCUGUUGCAUGAGGCCUUGGGAGAGCGUAUAAAUGUGGCAGCCCUAUCUAUGGCUUGUGGCACACGGUCCAAUAGGCUGCAGCAGGUAUCCGAUGUUUGCUGCGUAUUAUGCUGCCCCGGGGAGCUUGAAGGCAAUAGAGAGAGCAAUAUUACAAAUGUUGGAGUCUGCCAUUCUGUUACCCAAAUUCCCCCCACCCCCUCCUGAAACCCUGAAAUUUCCUCCCGAGGUGAGGGAAUUUCCCCGAGGUUGAGAACCACUUGAGUUAACAAGUCCCCUAGCUUUCCUCUUGAAUAGGCUGUGUGGAGGGAGAACAAUUGAGGCGAUGCAGAAUGAAUAAAAAAAGUGAAUCAAAUGAGUGAGACGUAAGGUGGGGCGGCUGAGAAAAAAAGGAAAUGGUUGUGAUGAAAGACGUGCGUAAGAGUUAUCCUUGAGGGCCGUGCUGCUGGCCCGUCACAGUCAAGGGUUAGGUCCUGCUGUUUGCUGUACGUCAACUCAUGAACCACGUGCAUGUGUUACAUUCCAGCAAACGUUUUUAUGAUUCAGUUCCGAAUCUUCAUUAAAGUCCCUAAGUAUUUAUGGUUCACUAUAACUGAAUAAUUGAAUUGGCAGUAUAGUGUUAACGCCUCGCUGGGCGGCAGUGCACAGACCAUUAAUGAAGCACUAAUGUAGCAGCCAGCGCCAGGCAGCGUCGAGUGAAUGAGGGAGGAUGAAGGGGGCGCGUGUGGCAUUGGGUAUGGGUAGGCGGUGACUGAGUGGUUAGCGUGCGGGCCCUGCAUUCACCGCACGCUACCACCUAGGAUUUUUCAGUCACCGGCGAGUGGCCUAAGAGUAAGACUACCCACAUGCUGUCCUAAAGACCACCCAUCAACCCGGACUCUAGAAGAAACCGUCCAAGUGAAUCAAGAAUGAGUUCCGGGGGGCAGCAUGAGCCAAGCAUAAAUGGCGCUACUAUAAAAAUUGCUUGCGCCAUGAUGGGCUUGGGCCGAACACCAGGCCCCUGAAGAAAGUCUACCGGGGCUAUAGGCGAACACGUAAAUAAAAAAUAAUAAUAAUGACCGUUGUGCCUGACAGUUCUUGUAUCAGAGAGCUCCGUCAGUUUAUCAUACAGCCCAAUACACUCGUGGGAGGGGGAUCCAGGGCGCUGGGUUCAUUGGUCAUCAGACAAGUGCAGAGGGUUAGCAAGAGGGUUGUUUGUGGCAAAAUGGCAUGGCUGCUGGAGUCCCCUACCGGGGCUAUUAAACAUUAUCCAUGUCACAAGACCAUGUAAUAGAAGGUAAUUACAGUGUACGUGAUAAAACAGCCUCCCCCCCCCGUGCAGGGCAGAUCAUUACUAAUAUUACUUAUAUGCGUGUUAUGCACCUACACAGAUGCCCUGCACAUUAGUUAUCAAGAUCAAGACCAGGCUUUGAGUAUAGAAAAAUGUACAUCUAAUAAAUGAAAGGUAUAUAGCAUUGGUCUUUUAUCUCUGCUCUAUCAGUCACUAUGCUGCCCUGCUGAGCCUUGGAUGGUAUAAUAACUGAGAUAACAAAGUAUAAUAAUCUCAGUCAGUUAGUUGAUGGCAAGAAUCGUAUUGUACGGGAGGAAGAAAAUAUGGCACAGACUUGGCUGGGUACUCACUCAUAUCAAGAAUGGAAAAAAUACCUUGAACUGAACCUGGGAAAGGAAAUAAAAAUACCUGUAAAAAAAUUCACCCCCCCUCAAAAAAAAAAGUGAAAAGUUAACCCUUGUAAAAAUGAAGUGUGGUAAUGGAUGUUAAUUUCCAUAAUACUUCACUUCUAUCCCUAAGUUUAGCCUUUAACCUGGUAGCAGCGACGGGCCAAAUUUGUGGCUUUACCGUGUAGCAGCGACGGGCCAAAUUUGUGGCUUUACCGUGUAGCAGCGACGGGCCAAAUUUGUGGCUUUACCGUGUAGCAGCGACGGGCCAAAUUUGUGGCUUUACCGUGUAGCAG